This 148-nucleotide non-coding RNA is filed under the name Gorilla gorilla gorilla (western lowland gorilla). Lineage: Eukaryota; Metazoa; Chordata; Mammalia; Primates; Hominidae. The record is from Rfam by way of RNAcentral.
GCCGGGUGUGGUGGUUCGCGCCUGUAAUCCCAGCUACUCAGGAGGCUGAGGCAGGAGAAUCACUUGAACCCAGGAGGCGGAGGUUGCAGUGAGCCAAGACUGCGUCACUGCACUCCGGCCUGGGUGACAAAGCGAGACUCUGUCUCAA